RNAcentral lists this non-coding RNA (258 nucleotides) under Thermoactinomyces vulgaris. Its description in RNAcentral is "partial 16S ribosomal RNA". It matches the Rfam family "Bacterial small subunit ribosomal RNA", at positions 710 to 965 of the family's 1533-position model. Lineage: Bacteria; Bacillati; Bacillota; Bacilli; Caryophanales; Thermoactinomycetaceae. The record is from RNAcentral.
CGGUGGCGAAGGCGGAUCUCUGGGCCAUUACUGACGCUGAGGAGCGAAAGCGUGGGGAGCGAACAGGAUUAGAUACCCUGGUAGUCCACGCCGUAAACGUUGGGAACUAGGUGUUGGCGACAUUCCACGUCGUCGGUGCCGCAGCUAACGCAUUAAGUUCCCCGCCUGGGGAGUACGGCCGCAAGGCUAAAACUCAAAGGAAUUGACGGGGGCCCGCACAAGCGGCGGAGCAUGUGGCUUAAUUCGACGCAACGCGAA